AACGAACGCUGGCGGCAGGCCUAACACAUGCAAGUCGAGCGGGGUUUUCGGACCUAGCGGCGGACGGGUGAGUAAUGCGUAGGAAGCUACCCGACAGAGGGGGAUACCAGUUGGAAACGACUGUUAAUACCGCAUAAUGUCUACGGACCAAAGUGUGGGACCUUCGGGCCACAUGCUGUCGGAUGCGCCUACGUGGGAUUAGCUAGUUGGUGAGGUAAUGGCUCACCAAGGCGACGAUCCCUAGCUGGUUUGAGAGGAUGAUCAGCCACACUGGAACUGAGACACGGUCCAGACUCCUACGGGAGGCAGCAGUGAGGAAUAUUGGACAAUGGGCGCAAGCCUGAUCCAGCCAUGCCGCGUGCAGGAUGACGGUCCUAUGGAUUGUAAACUGCUUUAUACAGGAAGAAACACUCCGACGUGUCGGAGCUUGACGGUACUGUAAGAAUAAGGAUCGGCUAACUCCGUGCCAGCAGCCGCGGUAAAGUG
This 486-nucleotide ribosomal RNA is filed under the name uncultured bacterium. Its description in RNAcentral is "bacterial SSU rRNA". It matches the Rfam family "Bacterial small subunit ribosomal RNA", at positions 29 to 527 of the family's 1533-position model. The record is from RNAcentral.